Molecule: ribosomal RNA, 954 nt
Filed under: Staphylococcus aureus
Lineage: Bacteria; Bacillati; Bacillota; Bacilli; Caryophanales; Staphylococcaceae
Description: partial 23S ribosomal RNA
Rfam family: Bacterial large subunit ribosomal RNA
Source: RNAcentral
CGUGUGCUUACAAGUAGUCAGAGCCCGUUAAUGGGUGAUGGCGUGCCUUUUGUAGAAUGAACCGGCGAGUUACGAUUUGAUGCAAGGUUAAGCAGUAAAUGUGGAGCCGUAGCGAAAGCGAGUCUGAAUAGGGCGUUUAGUAUUUGGUCGUAGACCCGAAACCAGGUGAUCUACCCUUGGUCAGGUUGAAGUUCAGGUAACACUGAAUGGAGGACCGAACCGACUUACGUUGAAAAGUGAGCGGAUGAACUGAGGGUAGCGGAGAAAUUCCAAUCGAACCUGGAGAUAGCUGGUUCUCUCCGAAAUAGCUUUAGGGCUAGCCUCAAGUGAUGAUUAUUGGAGGUAGAGCACUGUUUGGACGAGGGGCCCCUCUCGGGUUACCGAAUUCAGACAAACUCCGAAUGCCAAUUAAUUUAACUUGGGAGUCAGAACAUGGGUGAUAAGGUCCGUGUUCGAAAGGGAAACAGCCCAGACCACCAGCUAAGGUCCCAAAAUAUAUGUUAAGUGGAAAAGGAUGUGGCGUUGCCCAGACAACUAGGAUGUUGGCUUAGAAGCAGCCAUCAUUUAAAGAGUGCGUAAUAGCUCACUAGUCGAGUGACACUGCGCCGAAAAUGUACCGGGGCUAAACAUAUUACCGAAGCUGUGGAUUGUCCUUUGGACAAUGGUAGGAGAGCGUUCUAAGGGCGUUGAAGCAUGAUCGUAAGGACAUGUGGAGCGCUUAGAAGUGAGAAUGCCGGUGUGAGUAGCGAAAGACGGGUGAGAAUCCCGUCCACCGAUUGACUAAGGUUUCCAGAGGAAGGCUCGUCCGCUCUGGGUUAGUCGGGUCCUAAGCUGAGGCCGACAGGCGUAGGCGAUGGAUAACAGGUUGAUAUUCCUGUACCACCUAUAAUCGUUUUAAUCGAUGGGGGGACGCAGUAGGAUAGGCGAAGCGUGCGAUUGGAUUGCACGUCUAAG